GAUGAACGCUGGCGGCGUGCUUAACACAUGCCAGUCGAACGAAGCACUUUAUUUGAUUUCCUUCGGGACUGAUUAUUUUGUGACUGAGUGGCGGACGGGUGAGUAACGCGUGGGUAACCUGCCUUGUACAGGGGGAUAACAGUUGGAAACGGCUGCUAAUACCGCAUAAGCGCACGGCAUCGCAUGAUGCAGUGUGAAAAACUCCGGUGGUAUAAGAUGGACCCGCGUUGGAUUAGCUAGUUGGUGAGGUAACGGCCCACCAAGGCGACGAUCCAUAGCCGACCUGAGAGGGUGACCGGCCACAUUGGGACUGAGACACGGCCCAAACUCCUACGGGAGGCAGCAGUGGGGAAUAUUGCACAAUGGGCGAAAGCCUGAUGCAGCGACGCCGCGUGAGCGAAGAAGUAUUUCGGUAUGUAAAGCUCUAUCAGCAGGGAAGAUAAUGACGGGACCUGACUAAGAAGCACCGGCUAAAUACGU
RNAcentral lists this ribosomal RNA (480 nucleotides) under uncultured bacterium. RNAcentral describes it as "partial 16S ribosomal RNA". It matches the Rfam family "Bacterial small subunit ribosomal RNA", at positions 28 to 506 of the family's 1533-position model. The record is from RNAcentral.